GUGUCAGGGUCCUGGGACUGGGCGACCCAGGAUCCCUGAGCAGUCAUGUAUUUUAUUAUUAUUAUUAUUAUUAUUAUUAUUGUUGUUGUGUAUUUUGGUGUUGCUCCCCCUUCCCUGUGCUAGUGUGUAUGUGUGUGUGGGUGGCUGAGCACUUGUUUAUAGGCGGCGUCAGGCCUGGAGGGUGUGGCCCUGCAAGGGGACUGGCCACACCCGAAGCCACACACCUGCUGCUGAUCAGGCCUCGUCGGGGGAGCUACUUAAGAGAGUCUUGGAGCUCCCACCGACGCGGGAUCAUUGCAUGAGACUCCACGGAGAGCGUGGAAGGCACGGAGAGCAGCGAGCACCGGGGGGUGCUGACACGGGAGCAGAGAGCACACGGACUAUUCACGGGAGACACGACACGGGAGUCUGGGAGAACACGGG
Astatotilapia calliptera (eastern happy) is the source of this 423-nucleotide long non-coding RNA. The record is from Ensembl. NCBI's taxonomy places the organism in Eukaryota, Metazoa, Chordata, Actinopteri, Cichliformes, Cichlidae.